Molecule: ribosomal RNA, 496 nt
Filed under: uncultured crenarchaeote
Lineage: Archaea; Thermoproteati; Thermoproteota
Description: bacterial SSU rRNA
Rfam family: Archaeal small subunit ribosomal RNA
Source: RNAcentral
AGGAAUUGGCGGGGGAGCACCACAAGGGGUGAAGCCUGCGGUUCAAUUGGAGUCAACGCCAGAAAUCUUACCUGGGGCGACAGCAGAAUGAAGGUCAAGCUGAAGACUUUACCAGACAAGCUGAGAGGUGGUGCAUGGCCGUCGCCAGCUCGUGCCGUGAGAUGUCCUGUUAAGUCAGGUAACGAGCGAGACCCCUGCGUCUAGUUGCUACCAUUACUCUCUGGAGUAGUGGAGCGAAUUAGACGGACCGCCACAGUUAAUGUGGAGGAAGGAAGGGGCCACGGCAGGUCAGUAUGCCCCGAAACCCUAGGGCUACACGCGGGCUGCAAUGGUAUUGACAAUGUGUUCCGAAUCCGAAAGGAGGAGGCAAUCAUCAAACGAUACCUCAGUUAUGACUGAGGGCUGUAACUCGCCCUCACGAAUAUGGAAUCCCUAGUAACUGCGCGUCACUACCGCGCGGUGAAUACGUCCCUGCUCCUUGCACACACCGCCCGUC